GACCGUCCAUUCCCAAUCAGACGGCUUAUGCUACCCGAAUACGUGGAUACACGCAUAUAGAACGUAGAUAUAUCGCGAGGAGAAGGCGCUGAGGCCAAUCGCGUCGGGGUCGUUAAAAUAGACGGAAAGAAAUCUUCUCCAUCUCGAUCGGCGCCGACGAACGAGGACGGCAGUCGCUUCUUUGCGUUCGUCUGGGGUGGGGUUGGCGUUGAUACCAGAAUCUUAGGGUUUUUUUGCUAUCUUGGAUCUUUCGAAACCCUACGAUGGAGUGGCUUUGAUAACGGUGAGAGAAAGAAGUUGGUUGAGGUUGGUGAUUUGUUAUCGUGGAAUCGAAUUGAAAGGAUCUUGAUGGAAGAAAAUCCAAGAAAGCAAUCAAGAAGGGAAAGCUUGAAAUGGUUUGGCUAUUUAGAAGAAGAGCCAUUUUGAUUUUCUUCAUCUUCUUAGAAUUUCCACCACCAGAGAGGAUGAUGUCCUACUGAUGACAGUUUUCGAGGUGAUUUUCUGGGUUAGGGCUGGUACCGGAAUCUAAGGGUUUGCUGUCUUGUUUCUUUCGAAACCUUACGAUGGAGAUUGCUUCGAUAACGUGUGAGAAGUUGGUUGAGGUUGGUGAUUUCUCAUCGUGGAAUCGAAUUGAGUGGAUCGUGACGGAAGAAACUUAAAGAAAGCAAUGAAGAAGGGAAAUCCUGACACAGUUCGGUUAUAAAGAAGAAGACCCAUUUUAAUUGUCUUCAUCUUCUUGAAGAUGAUUUCCUAUUGAUGACUGUUUUCAAGGUGAUCUUCUUGAGAUAAUUGUUGGUGAUAUUCUAAGUUAAAUCAGUAAUAUAUUAGCAAGGAAAAGUCCAGAAAGGAAGAACUUCUUGGUGGUCUGCGAUCACGCAGAGAGACCUUUUAGUAGUCUUUAGCUUGAGCAGUUCUAAUGAUGCCACAGCCACCUCCUUUUGUAUGUACUGCUUAUUCGAACCGAAAGAUGUCAUAUGCAAGAGGUGCAGAUACUCUAAGUGAACCGUAAAUGUUAGGAGACUUUAAUGUCUUGCUAGCGGUUGGUUUGUGAUUAUUGCUAAUAGUCACUAUGACCGAGAUCUCAAUAUUGUUUAAACCAAGGAUCAGCACCGGAACAUGUACGUUGUACAGAUCAGUAUACCACCUGGUACGUAGUAUCAUAUGUAUUGUUUGUGGAUAUAAAUUCUAAAAUUCAGUAUCUUGGCAUUUUGUGCUGACAUUUUUAUGGAUGAAAGAGGGACUUGGUCUGAGACCAUAUAGUAAAAAAAAUUAUUUAAGUUCAUUUCUUGCAAAUUUAUUUAAGUUCUGCCAAAUAUUAUUUUCCAGACAUGGGUUUGCCUAAGGAGUUUAUAGAACUCUCUUGAAUUGUUUCCUAGAGAAGCAGGUGGAAUUGUUAAACUCAUGUUCCAUAUUUGUUGUAGUUCUGUGUGAUCAGAAUAUUAUAAACUAAAUCUAGUCAUUCUUUUGCGCUUACAAUCUUAUCUGAAAUUUAAUUCUUCAUCUCUCUUGUGUGUGAGAUGAACCUCAAUGUCUGUUCCAAUUGUAUAUCACCCUAAAAGUAGGGGAAAUGUCGCCUUCUCCCUUGUAGUUUGGUUGUUUUCCUGGCAGGCCCCGUGGUUUUUCUUGUUCAUUUUUUGGCAAAUACCUCCAUGAAACAGUUUUUUCUUUAUCAAAUUCACAUAGGCAUCAUAUGUCGUCCAUGUAGAGGUUACAUAUUAUAUGAAGGCAUCUAAUUCCAUCUCUGAUAGACAUCAAAAUCUUACAUGUAUUAGCACUGGUUCGGUAUCUAUGUGAUGCUUAUGUUGCAUUCAUGUGUUUUAUAGAUGCCACAUGUUAUAUAAAGGCAACAAAUGCAACACGACAUGGGUCCUUAGGAUCUGUGUGUGCUGCCUAGUGCCAUGUGGUUGAUACAUUAGCAUGCUGCAUUGAUGUUUGUCACUUGGGUCCAUGCGAGUGACAUGUUGGUUAGCUUCAUUCUGUCCACGUGAAUAUUAAGCUGAUGGCAUUAGAUCCUGAACCAAGAAUUGUAUAUGAACAAAGCACAGUCUGAGAUCUGCCAAACUAGUGGGGCUGAAGUGCAAAGCGGUCAAACCAUGAGGUAGAGAAAAAUCUUCAACAAUUUAUGAAGUUCUUUAGGCUUUUAAACUGUCUUCAUCAUAGUGCAUCAUUUAGUAUAAUCUGAAUCAUAGGUGUAGGGUGGAUUUGUUCUCAUUCUUUUGCUUGAUCAUCAUUUUUAUGCUACUAUUUAAUGUUGGCCUGGCCUCUUGUUUUUAGUGAUAUUCAGCAUAUAUUGAUGUUAUAGCUGGAUGUUGCAGCUUCUACCUGUCAUAUGCUAAAGUGGUCAUGUUAUGAACAUCUUUCAUUUGUUUUCACAAGGUUGUCAGAUAGUAUUGAUGAAGUUACAAGAAAAUUUGAUUAUGUUGCAAAUGUUCCAACCACAUGUCAUGAUGGCAUCAGAUAGACUGAAUCCAUUUUAAAUGUUGCAAUUUUAGUGGGUGCUGUUAUCCGAAUAUUUAUUAUUAUAAUGAUUUGCUUGGUUUUCUUGAAUAACAUUUUCAUUAAGAGAUGCUUAUAUGAUUAGAUACUUUUUGAGAUGAAGGCCUAAUUUAGCAGUAGUUAGUGGGAUGUUUAUCAUUUAUCUUUUCCCUGUGUUUCUUCUGAUCUUUAUGGUUAAUUUUUGCUGCCUGCCUUCGUUUUCUUUCCAUAUUCUCCUUUGUUGCUUGGCAUCCACAUCUCUGUUCAGUAGUCUAUUUUGCUUCAUUUUUCCAGUACAUUUUUCUAAAAAAAGGUUACCUUGGAUAAAUUGGAAAUCUAUAUGUAAAUACCAAACCAAGCAAAUUUUUUGGUGUAUAAUAGCAACAAUCCAGUGGAAAUUUUUAUUUUAACAAUUGAACAUCAUGGACUUUUAGAUCUGAGCUAUAGAGUUAAUACGAUAAUAGAUUCUUUCACCCUCACUACGGUGCCAAAAUAAGUUGUAUAGGCAUUUAUUAGAUCGAGUUGAUAUAGUGAGAUGAAAGCUGUUGAUAUUUCUACUUUAUCCAUUUAGUACUUUGCAAUGUUGAAAAUUUAUUUUCCAGCAUACUGAUGGUGGAUCCGAUUUCGAGAUAUUUGUGUUGUUAAGAAUGUGUUUCUAUGUUACAUCCCCUUAAUAAUGUGUUGGUUUCGUGAAAGCUGCAGUCAGAAAACAACUUGGUGACCUGUGGUCUUAGAAGAGAGCAAUUAAAAUAAGUUCUAUAAAUACAUGUUUGAGAAAGUGGUGUUAUUGAAAGAGAGAGUCGAAGUAUUCAAAUCGUUUGUGAUUAUAUGUAUAUCAAGAACAGGAUUACUUGAACUAACAGGAACAUGCACUUUUCUCUCUUUUAGCUUGUGACGUUCCCAUAAUGUCAACACUCUGUAAUAGCUCAGUGUAGGUAUGGAUUUAAAACCAACAGUUGCUCCGAGCAGGGCUAAUAGCUGUUUUUGCCAAGUAGGGGGUGCCACGGUGAAGGCCGCAGGUGGUGUAAAAAGUAGGUGCCGUUGCAGCUGCGGCUGCUGUAUCAGCUGUCGUCGCAGCAACAGCAGUGAUCCGAGGAAGCAAACGGAGAAGAGGAAACCAAACUGAAGUUCUCUUUUUAAUUAAUGCCUGUUGCUUCAGAAAAAGGAGGGGAGGGGUAAAUGAUUGCCAGAAGCAAUUUGUUUUGCAUGAGAUGUCAGAGAAGUCCUAGUGAUUGCUUUUGGCAUUUUUGAGUUUUUUUUCCUCUAUUUUUUGGGUUGAUUUGUUUCUUGCCUGAAGCAAGAACACACUGCUGCA
Long non-coding RNA from Musa acuminata AAA Group (dessert banana), 3790 nucleotides. RefSeq lists it as uncharacterized. The record is from RefSeq and is a predicted model, not a curated record. The transcript is spliced from 2 exons. NCBI's taxonomy places the organism in Eukaryota, Viridiplantae, Streptophyta, Magnoliopsida, Zingiberales, Musaceae.